RNAcentral lists this ribosomal RNA (519 nucleotides) under uncultured bacterium. RNAcentral describes it as "bacterial SSU rRNA". It matches the Rfam family "Bacterial small subunit ribosomal RNA", at positions 777 to 1294 of the family's 1533-position model. The record is from RNAcentral.
AAUAGAUACCCCGGUAGUCCACGCCGUAAACGAUGAGUGCUAAGUGUUGGAGGGUUUCCGCCCUUCAGUGCUGCAGCUAACGCAUUGAGCACUCCGCCUGGGGAGUACGGUCGCAAGACUGAAACUCAAAGGAAUUGACGGGGGCCCGCACAAGCGGUGGAGCAUGUGGUUUAAUUCGAAGCAACGCGAAGAACCUUACCAGGUCUUGACAUCUCCUGACCGCCCUGGAGACAGGGUCUUCCCUUCGGGGACAGGAUGACAGGUGGUGCAUGGUUGUCGUCAGCUCGUGUCGUGAGAUGUUGGGUUAAGUCCCGCAACGAGCGCAACCCUUGGUUCUAGUUGCCAGCAUUCAGUUGGGGCACUCUAGAGCGACUGCCGGCGACAAGUCGGAGGAAGGUGGGGAUGACGUCAAAUCAUCAUGCCCCUUAUGACCUGGGCUACACACGUGCUACAAUGGAUGGUACAAAGGGCAGCGAAGCGGCGACGCAUGAGCGAAUCCCAGAAAACCAUUCUCAGUUC